This 379-nucleotide ribosomal RNA is filed under the name uncultured bacterium. RNAcentral's name for it is "bacterial SSU rRNA". It matches the Rfam family "Bacterial small subunit ribosomal RNA", at positions 30 to 417 of the family's 1533-position model. The record is from RNAcentral.
AUUGAACGCUGGCGGCAUGCCUAACACAUGCAAGUCGAACGGGGUGUAGCAAUACAUCUAGUGGCGGACGGGUGAGGAAUACAUAGGAAUUUGCCCUUAAGUGGGGGAUAGUCCGGGGAAACUCGGUUUAAUACCGCAUGAUCUCGUGAGAGCAAAGCAGGGGACCGGCAAGGCCUUGCGCUUUUGGAGAAGCCUAUGUCGGAUUAGCUAGUUGGUAGGGUAAUGGCCUACCAAGGCGACGAUCCGUAACUGGUCUGAGAGGAUGAUCAGUCACACCGGAACUGAGACACGGUCCGGACUCCUACGGGAGGCAGCAGUGGGGAAUAUUGGACAAUGGCGCAAGCCUGAUCCAGCAAUGCCGCGUGUGUGAAGAAGGCCU